Molecule: ribosomal RNA, 238 nt
Filed under: uncultured bacterium
Lineage: Bacteria
Description: partial 16S ribosomal RNA
Rfam family: Bacterial small subunit ribosomal RNA
Source: RNAcentral
CCGGCACGGGUGAGUAACGCGUAUGCAACUUGCCUAUCAGAGGGGGAUAACCCGGCGAAAGCCGGACUAAUACCGCAUGAAGCAGGGAUCCCGCAUGGGAAUAUUUGCUAAAGAUUCAUCGCUGAUAGAUAGGCAUGCGUUCCAUUAGGCAGUUGGCGGGGUAACGGCCCACCAAACCGACGAUGGAUAGGGGUUCUGAGAGGAAGGUCCCCCACAUUGGUACUGAGACACGGACCAA